RNAcentral lists this ribosomal RNA (669 nucleotides) under Triticum aestivum (bread wheat). Its description in RNAcentral is "partial small subunit ribosomal RNA". The record is from RNAcentral. Lineage: Eukaryota; Viridiplantae; Streptophyta; Magnoliopsida; Poales; Poaceae.
AUGCAGGCUCUGAUGGAUGUUCGGUGCAAGAAUCUAGUGAAUCCUGUAUGCGACUGGCUAGGUGAGAUUUACGAGCCCGCCUCCAGGGAAUUUGUGAUUCCGGGACGUGGAAGACUGCCGUUAGACAAGGAAUCCGUGUUCUGCACGUUGGGUGUGCCCCGCGGAGAGAUCAAAGUCCCGUAUGAGGUCAAUAAUACGAUUGAGGAAACGUUGUUUGCCCGUUUGUUUCCUGGGUUGACAUCCAUGCCGAACACGACCGUGCUGGAAAAUUCACUGGAGGGCAUGACAACCCAUGGCGAGGUUUUCAAGAUGAAGCUACUCAUGUACCUGAUCUCAGCUGUUUUUGCACCGACCACAUCUCUUCGCCCAAGCAACAAAUGCUUCCCCAUCCUGGAAAAACUGAAAGAAGUGAAGAACAUGAAUUGGUGUAAGUUCAUUGCGGACUUCCUGCAUGAUGCAUUCUCAAACAAGAUGUACCAGAAGGGUUGUCGGCUCCAUUUAAUGCUCAUGUACGUCGAUCGUCUUGAUCUGUCCACUGUGGACUUUACUGGGAUAGGAGGCCCGCCGCCUCCACACAAGUUUGCUGUUUCUGCGUGGACUUACGAUGCUGUCAAGGCGGUGCUUGCCGUGGACAAGAUAACUGAUAGAAAUACGGGAAACUACAGCUGA